ACUGACUUCGCUCGGACGCAAGCAUCGGACGUCCGAUAGAAUCCUUCAAACUCUUUGUCUGCUAUCGGACGGAAGUACCGGACGUCCGAUUGGAUUCUUCAAAGUCGACGAAAACUGUCGAACGCCCACAAAGACAAUACCGGACAUUCGAUAGAAUUGAGAUAUUCCUUCUAACUCAUUGUCUGCUUUCGGAUGCAAGCACCGGACGUUCGAUAGAAUUGAAGAAGAUUUUUCAAACUCACUGCCUGCUGUCGGACAUAUGUUUCGGAUGUACCGGACG
Molecule: long non-coding RNA, 280 nt
Filed under: Coffea arabica (coffee)
Lineage: Eukaryota; Viridiplantae; Streptophyta; Magnoliopsida; Gentianales; Rubiaceae
Description: long non-coding RNA (CARA_LNC004609)
Source: RNAcentral